Molecule: long non-coding RNA, 1291 nt
Filed under: Macaca fascicularis (crab-eating macaque)
Lineage: Eukaryota; Metazoa; Chordata; Mammalia; Primates; Cercopithecidae
Description: lncRNA (ENSMFAG00000048062.1)
Source: RNAcentral
GCUCAGGUGCUCGCCGGGUCAGCGUCUUCCUCCGGGCAUCCCUAGUCUCCUCCCACUGCUGCGGGGACGCCGGCGGCCUUUGCCGAGUAUGUGCCGCGCCUCGGGUUCUGAGGCGGACGCGUCCCGCACGUCAGGUCCCUCCCGAGCUGGAGGCGCUGGAUUCGCACCUUGUGAGGAAGAGCGAGCCGAGGCUUCAGCCACUGCCGCGGGCCCAGACCCCGCCCGCCGCGUCGCUCCCAGGGUCUUCCCGGGCCUGAUCGGGGUUCAGCAGGACGCGGUUCCCGCCAGGACCCACUUACGGAGCGCAGCCUGCUGCACCUGGGGACGCUCCGGCGCAGCGUCCAGCGUGCAGGCUUUGCCGCUGUGGCUUUCACUCUGCAGCGUGGGCCCGGGCGAUUCGGGAAGCCCGCCUGGGCUUCAGCGCCUCCGAUGUAGGAUGGGAAAAUGAUGCAGACCUACCUGCGAGGCUGCUUUAAGAUAUGAAUCAGAUGUGAAGAGUGACUAGUUGAGAACCUGACGGGCGGCCCUGCAGAAGUCUUGGUCAUUUCAUUCUUUCCGCAAGUUUUGUUUUGUUUUGUUUUGUUUUCCCAGACGUUGUUUCACUCUCGUCGCCCAGGCUGGAGUGUAAUGGCGCCAUCUCGGCUCACUGCAACCUCUGCCUCCGGGUUCAAGUGAGUCUCCUGCCUCAGCCUCCCGAGUAGCUGGGAUUACAGGCGCACGCCACCUAGUCCAGCUAAUUUUGUAUUUUUAGUAGAGACGGGGUUUCUCCAUAUUGGUCAGGCUGGUCUUGAACUCCCGACCUCACGUGGUCUGCCCGCCUCGGCUUCCCAAAGUGCUGGGAUUACAGGCGUGAGCCACUGCGCCCGGCCUCAGCAAGCAUUUUUAAACACCUACUGUGGGCCAAGUCUUGUGCUAGAUGUUGUAUUUACGGAGAUGAAUAGAGACACCUCUAAUUAAUGAAAGAGGAUGCUCUCCCCACUCCUCCCAGGGUUUGACUUGGCGCAAAAACUCUUCACAAACCAGAAUGACAGGACACCAUCGCCAGUGUCCACUGGCCACCGUUGUUGGUGUGAGGCAGCCAGGAGCCCCUCAGAACUGAUAAGUCUGAGAAGAGACUGCACAGGAGAGGGAGAAAUGAGCCCGUCCAAGGUGAAUUCCUUGAUUCUCCAUUGUGAGUGCACUAAGAACAAGCACUGCCUCCGACUGACUUUCUCGCCUGCCAGGAUCUGGUACACCUUCCAUUAAUUUAUUAGUUCAUUCAAUAAAUAUUUAUUGACUGAUUACACAUAAA